RNAcentral lists this ribosomal RNA (460 nucleotides) under uncultured bacterium. Its description in RNAcentral is "partial 16S ribosomal RNA". It matches the Rfam family "Bacterial small subunit ribosomal RNA", at positions 338 to 795 of the family's 1533-position model. The record is from RNAcentral.
CCUACGGGGGGCAGCAGUGAGGAAUAUUGGUCAAUGGCCGGAAGGCUGAACCAGCCAUGCCGCGUGAAGGUCAGUGCCCUAUGGGCGUUAAACUUCUUUUGUGCGGGAGCAAUAAUGGUCACGUGUGGCCAGACGAGAGUACCGUACGAAUAAGCAUCCGCCUACUUCGUGCCAGCAGCCGCGGUAAGACGGGGGAUGCAAGCGUUAUCCGGAUUUUUUGGGUUUAAAGGGUGCGUAGGCUGUGAGGUAAGUCAGCGGGGAAAUGCUCCCGGUCAACGGGGUGAAGUGCCAUUGAUACUGCCAUGCUGGAAUGCGGAUGCGGUAGGAGGAAUGUGUGGUGUAGCGGUGAAAUGCAUAGAUAUCACACAGAACACCGAUUGCGAAGGCAUCUCACGAAUCCGCGAUUGACGCUGAUGCACGAAAGCGUGGGUAUCAAACAGGAUUAGAUACCCCAGUAGUC